UACGAAGGGGGCUAGCGUUGUUCGGAAUUACUGGGCGUAAAGCGCAUGUAGGCGGAUAUUUAAGUCAGGGGUGAAAUCCCGCAGCUCAACUGCGGAACUGCCUUUGAUACUGGGUAUCUUGAGUAUGGAAGAGGUGAGUGGAAUUCCGAGUGUAGAGGUGAAAUUCGUAGAUAUUCGGAGGAACACCAGUGGCGAAGGCGGCCCACUGGUCCAUUACUGACGCUGAGGUGCGAAAGCGUGGGGAGCAAACAGG
RNAcentral lists this ribosomal RNA (253 nucleotides) under uncultured bacterium. RNAcentral's name for it is "partial 16S ribosomal RNA". It matches the Rfam family "Bacterial small subunit ribosomal RNA", at positions 524 to 776 of the family's 1533-position model. The record is from RNAcentral.